GACAGAGGUGCCAAGCGUUAGGCGGAAUCACUGGGCUUAAAGCGUGUGUAGGCGGAUCGUUAAGUACCUUGUGAAAUCCCACGGCUCAACCGUGGAACUGCUUGGUAUACUGGCGGUCUUGAGCCGCCUAGGGGCAACUGGAACAAGCGGUGGAGCGGUGAAAUGCUUAGAUAUCGUCCAGAACACCGAUAGCGAAGGCAGCUUACUAAGGAGUAACUGACGCUGAGGCACGAAAGUGUGGGGAUCAAACAGG
RNAcentral lists this ribosomal RNA (253 nucleotides) under uncultured bacterium. RNAcentral's name for it is "partial 16S ribosomal RNA". It matches the Rfam family "Bacterial small subunit ribosomal RNA", at positions 524 to 776 of the family's 1533-position model. The record is from RNAcentral.